RNAcentral lists this ribosomal RNA (238 nucleotides) under uncultured bacterium. Its description in RNAcentral is "partial 16S ribosomal RNA". It matches the Rfam family "Bacterial small subunit ribosomal RNA", at positions 96 to 334 of the family's 1533-position model. The record is from RNAcentral.
UGGCGGACGGGUGAGUAACGCGUGGAUAACCUGCCUCACACUGGGGGAUAACAGUUGGAAACGGCUGCUAAUACCGCAUAAGCGCACAGUACCGCAUGGUACGGUGUGAAAAACUCCGGUGGUAUGAGAUGGACCCGCGUCUGAUUAGGUAGUUGGUGGGGUAACGGCCUACCAAGCCGACGAUCAGUAGCCGACCUGAGAGGGUGACCGGCCACAUUGGGACUGAGACACGGCCCAA